This is a long non-coding RNA of Drosophila pseudoobscura, 1155 nucleotides long. RefSeq lists it as uncharacterized. The record is from RefSeq and is a predicted model, not a curated record. Lineage: Eukaryota; Metazoa; Arthropoda; Insecta; Diptera; Drosophilidae. The transcript is spliced from 2 exons.
UCAAUAAGUAUUUAAAUUCUAGCUAUUAAUGAAUAAAUUUAAAUUGUCUCCUUAAACGUUGAUCUUGAUUUCCGAUACCCAGCCCCUGUAGUAGCGAGCCCUAAAAAAAAGGGGUCAUGAAGUAUAGAGGAAGAUGGCAGAUUAUGACCAAGGAAGGGUGGGCGUGGUCCUUCAUUCCAGCUGAGGACGUCCUUUAAUCCGUUCGUUUCGCGUGCGUGUGCAUAUGUGUAUCAGAAUAGACAAAUAAACAGAACACCACCCUUUUGCCGACGAGACAGUAGCCGGAAUGAUAGCGUGCUGGUCGACCUCUGAUGAAAACAUCAGUCCUACUAAUCGUUGUCCACUACAUAAAAACAAAAAACUCGAAAAGGUACUUAUAUUAUUAUAUUAAAGUUUAUGCAGCAGGACAGUGAGUAAGUAAUAUUUUAAAAUUAAUGCGUGCUCUGCGCGUACGCUCCGCUCCACCCACAUUUUUUCCGCCCAUCAUUUCGCCGUCAUUUUUCUACUGGAGGGAUCCUAAGCUACGUUUCCUUAUUAUAAUUAAGAUUUUGACCUUUCCUUGUUCUCUAGAUUUAAGCAUUGACUUUGCAGUUUUAGGUUAAGGGCGAGGGGGGAAAGGCUACACGUUUUUAAUUUGUUAUUAUACGGCCCGAGGGGUAUCUGAGCCCCACGUAGCCUUUUAUUUUCACGGCAGACGCCACUGACUUUUCAGGGUCGGUAAACCAACAACAACGACGCAGCAGCGGCAAACGAGAGACGACGAAAACGCCGAGAACCGUAAGUCAGCAAGCAACAAAACAACGGCAAUGAAAAGAACGAAACGACGAGAACCGCAAGCCGACAGCAUCGACGCAGCAGCGGCAGAAGAGAAACGACGAGAACCGCAAGCCAACAGCAACGACGCGCCAGUAGCACUGGGCACUGCCUCCAGCGGUAGUCGCCUUCUGCUGUUGCUCUUGUUUGCAGAGGCUGCCAAUGCUGCCCGGCUGCUGGGAUGGAAUUAUGACAUGUUCCAGGAUGCGAAAACUCGGAUUAUGGGUCGAUUUCUGUUGGGAUAGAAUAGAUAGAUAGAUGCGAUCUUGUGAAUUUCAAGUUUAAUUGCAUUUACUUACUGAUUGUGUCUGCACCACCACACUCGGUUUGUCUGCGGGCGAU